Molecule: ribosomal RNA, 492 nt
Filed under: uncultured bacterium
Lineage: Bacteria
Description: partial 16S ribosomal RNA
Rfam family: Bacterial small subunit ribosomal RNA
Source: RNAcentral
AGUGAACGCUGGCGGUAGGCCUAACACAUGCAAGUCGAACGGCAGCACAGUAAGAGCUUGCUCUUACGGGUGGCGAGUGGCGGACGGGUGAGGAAUACAUCGGAAUCUACUUUUUCGUGGGGGAUAACGUAGGGAAACUUACGCUAAUACCGCAUACGACCUACGGGUGAAAGCAGGGGAUCUUCGGACCUUGCGCGAUUGAAUGAGCCGAUGUCGGAUUAGCUAGUUGGCGGGGUAAAGGCCAACCAAGGCGACGAUCCGUAGCUGGUCUGAGAGGAUGAUAAGCCACACUGGAACGGAGACACGGUCCAGACUACUACGGGAGGCAGCAGUGGGGAAUAUUGGACAAUGGGCGCAAGCCUGAUCCAGCCAUACCGCGUGUGUGAAGAAGGCCUUCGGGUUGUAAAGCCCUUUUGUUGGGAAAGAAAAGCAGCAGGUUAAUACCCCGCUGUUCUGACGGUACCCAAAGAAUAAGCACCGGCUAACUUCGUG